Molecule: small nuclear RNA, 108 nt
Organism: Peromyscus maniculatus bairdii (prairie deer mouse)
Lineage: Eukaryota; Metazoa; Chordata; Mammalia; Rodentia; Cricetidae
Source: Ensembl
GUGCUCACUUCAGCAACACAUAUACUAAAAUUGGAACGAUACAGAGAAGAUUAGCAUGGCCCCUGCACAAAGGAUGACAUGCAAAUUAGUGAAGCAUUAAAAUAAAUG